This 2420-nucleotide unclassified non-coding RNA is filed under the name Polistes canadensis. Its description in RNAcentral is "uncharacterized LOC106786982, transcript variant X2". Lineage: Eukaryota; Metazoa; Arthropoda; Insecta; Hymenoptera; Vespidae. The record is from RNAcentral.
UCGCAAUCUUUCUGAUUAGGCCUCGUCCUAAACUCAAAUGGAGAAUGAGUCUAAGGCCAGUGCAUAUGUCCUAUUAUGUUUCGCCUGCAAAUGGAUCGACCAUUGUUGGAAAAUAAUUUCAAGUUUUAAAUUAAUGAGUCACUUAUGCUAGCAGUCUAUUCGUCCUGCUCGCUGUAUUAUUAAUAACAGUGAACGGCGGCGAUAUAAUACGUAAAAGUAUAGUUUUCGACAAGAACACGCCGGACGUGUUUUAUUGUCCCCAACAUAAGCCAACGGGAUUUGAAAAAAUGAUCGUAAAAGCGAAGCCAUUAUGGAGGCUUUGUCAAUUUGAGGGCAAACCUAUUCCAGAGGAUUACAAAAGUGAUUGUUACAAUGACGUAGAUGAAUCGGAGUACGCUUGUAAGGAAAAAUACAGAAUUAUGAAACGAAUCAAAAAUGCCGAGGGAGACGGAAAAGCCAUUGACAACGACUACAUCGAGAAAUAGAUGAAAAUGACGAUGCUGCACGGCCAAUCCACGCGCAAAUUCAUUCAAACACUAUUAAAAAAAAAUAUAUUAAAAACAAAAGAAAAAAAAACAAAUAAAAAACAUACACGUACACACAUUACAUACAACAAAUUAUAUCUUACUAAUGCUCGAGCUGCGCUGUUGCAGGGUACAAUGCAGUGGCAGAUUAAGCGGCCCUUCUGAACUCCCAAGUUUUCCAAUUUCUUUUCAUUAGGGUUUGAGAAAAAUUACGUUUUUUAAAUAAAUUUAAUUGAUGCGUUAUAGUAUGAAAUUUGUAUCGCUUGGGAUUCCCACUUGACUUGAUCCGCCACUGGUCAAAUGUGUAAAAUAUUAAUAAUAAUAAUAUUAUUAAUAAUAAUAAUAAUAAUAAUAAUAAUAAUAAUAAUUGACUAGGUGGCUGAAUACACAUAACGAAUACUAAAGUUAUACUUUCACCUAAUCAAUGGCCCGCUUCGCUUGAUUAUUUUUUUUGUUUUAUUUUUAUUUUAUUUUAUUUUUUAUUUUAUUUCUUUUGAUACGAAUUAAAUACUACUUCGUUGAGAGAACAUGACAAAAUAAUGUAACAAAUUGAAUCGAAUUAAAUUUUAUGUUUGAAUACACGACGAAACGUACGAUUGGAAUAGGAAAUAUGUUUUGUGCAUAGUUAAAAAGAAAAAAAUAUUUUAGUAAUUUAUAAACAAAAAAAAAGAAUGAAAUUUCUUUCUUUUCUUACAAAACCUAAAAUUCCUUGCAACGAAAUUUAUUGUAAUUUUUAAAAGUACAUACGAAGAAUUUGGAAGUGUCCUGUUUUUAAUAGUACGAUUUAAUUUUUCAUUUGUGUGUGCAUUUAAAAAAAAAAAAAGAAACGGUCUCUUGUAUUUUUGACAUUCGAUUUAAACAAUAAAACUAACACCGAUAGAGCUUGACCUUAACUCUAAGACCUGAGGUAUGGUUUCAGUAGGCAUUGAUGUCGCUUAAUUUAAUCGAUCAUAAUUUAAAUAAAUUAUAAUAAUUAUCAUAAUUUUCCAGUAGUAGUGUAGGUAUAAUAUAAUGAUCGUCUCUUUUUAAUACAAACUCGUAUAAUGUUUCUUUUUUAAAGUUCUUUUUAAAAUAUUAUUAAAUAAUAUUAUUUAUUUUCUUUAAAAAAGAAAUAAGAUAUUUAAAUAUUGUACUACUACUAGUUAUUGCAAUCUUGUUCUUUUUUUUUUUUUACUUUAUGAAAAUAAACGAAUUAAUGCCACUUUUGUAAAUAUUUUUAUCUAUAUCUUUUUUGUAUUUAUCUAUUAUUAUUCUAAUUAUAAAUGUAAUAUGCUCUACAUAUUGAAAUUAUAAUAUACAACAAACAGAAACUUCGGGAUUUUAUUCAGGAACUAUUUCUACAUCGAUUGAUGAGACUCCAUCCACCGGGAAGCAAUACGCCAUAUAACGGAACACGUCUAUCAAAAUUUCUUGCUGCCAAUAAAAAAAUGAAUAUAUAUAUUCGUAAAAAAGAAUAAAGUAUAAUUGAACUUAUUCUACUAUUUAUUUGUUGAGCUUUGUAAUUAAACAAGAAUCUUUACAAUAUUAAAAAAGAAAAUAAUUAAUAUAUCAUCAUUUAUAUAUGUAUAUGCAUUAUCUAAUGAAUAAUUAUAUAAAUGAAUAGUAGAAAACUAUAUAUAAAUAUUGUUUAAUUCGUACACACAUAGGUAUAUUCAAAUGUAAGAGAUCUUUUAAGUAAUUAAUCCUACUUCUAAUUGUGUAGAAGUCAUUUUUAAUUUAAAUGACACAAUUAAAUAAAUUUUAAUAAUUAUUGUUAAUUAUUAUUUAUAAAGAUAUUUAAAAUACAAAAAUUCUAUACAAUGGAGUUUCUUACUUUCAAGUACUAUAUUUCUAAUAUACGAUAUUGUACAGUUAACUCUAUCUAACACAAUUCAUACAUUAUAGUGUUGUAUAAAA